AGCUGGCGCAGCGGCGGUCUGGAGUGAGGGUAGCACGUUGAGCUGAAGUCUUUGCAGUGCGCUGCAGCACAGGGACUGGCCUUGUGCCCAGGGUCUGGUGGGAAUCCCAGGCCUGGCUACGUCCGGGUCCCCGGAGGAUGGAUCUCGCGUGGAGUGCGUGGUACUGCAAGUGUGUCAAAGUAAAGGAAUCGUCGACACUGUGGGCCCAGAGCCUUGUGGUCGCCUGGCUCAGUAGGGCCGAGUGGGACCAGGUGACGGUUUAUCUGUUCUGUGACGACCAUAAGUUGCAGCAGUACGCGCUGAACCGCAUCACCGUGUGGAGGAGCAGGUUAGGCAACGAACUCCCCCUGGCAGUGGCUUCUACCGCUGACCUGAUACGCUGUAAGCUCAUGGAUGUAACUGGUGGCUUGGGCACUGAUGAACUUAGACUGCUGUAUGGCAUGGCAUUGGUCAGGUUUGUGAAUCUUAUCUCGGAGAGGAAGACAAAGUUUUCCAAGCUUCCCCUCAAGUUCCUGGCUCAGGAGGUGAACAUUCCAGAUUGGAUUGUUGAACUUCGUCAUGAGUUGACCCACAAGAAAAUGCCCCAUAUAAAUGACUGUCGCAGAGGCUGCUACUUUGUCCUGGAUUGGCUCCAGAAGGCCUAUUGGUGCCGCCAAUUGGAGAAUAGCCUUAGAGAGACAUGGGAGUUAGAAGAAGACAGAGAAGAGACAGAUGAAGAGGACCAGCAAGAAGAUAAAAAUGUUGUUAAUGCCAUCACAGAAUUGAAAUCAGAGCCUCAGGACAUUAAGAAAGAUGCAGAGUCAGAUGUCAGGACUGAUGGUGACAGCAAAGACAACAAAGAGGUGGAUUCUACUUUUGAAAAGGCUCUGAGACAUAAAGAGCUAUAUGAAAGAGCCAGAGAACUGCUGGUGUCAUAUGAAGAGGAGCAAUUUAAGGUGUUGGAGAAAUUUAGGCAUUUACCUCAGGCCAUUAAGGCAUGGAAUAACCCAUCCCCACGUGUAGAAUGCAUCCUGGCAGAGCUCAAGGGCAUUACAUGGGAGAACAGGGAGGCUGUGCUGGAUGCUUUUCUAGAUGACGGCUUCCUCAUCCCCACAUUUGAGCAGCUGGCAGCUUUGCAGAUAGACUAUGAAGAUGGUCAGACUGAGGUCCAGAGAGGGGAAGGUACUGAUGCAAAGUCACACAAAAACGUGGACUUGAGUGACAUCCUGGUACCAAAGCCAUUCUCUCAGUUCUGGCAGCCCUUGCUUAGGGGCCUGCACUCCCAGACCUUCACACAGGCCCUGCUGGAGAGGAUGUUCUCUGAGCUGCCAGCCUUGGGGGACAGUGGGAUCCGGCCCACCUACAUCCUCAGAUGGACCGUUGAACUGAUCGUGGCCAACACCAAAACUGGACGGAAUGCUCGUCGAUUUUCUGCAAGCCAGUGGGAAGCAAGGAGGAGCUGGAGGCUGUUUAACUGCUCCACCUCAAUUGACUGGCCUCAGGUGGUGGAGUCCUGCUUGGGCUCACCUUGCUGGGCCAGCCCCCAACUCCUUCAGCUUGCUUGCAGAGUGGAAGCUGCUGGUCUUGGAGAAGUCUGGACCACAGAGAUCUCCCAACCCAAGCAUACCAGAGGGAUGCGACACAUGCCAGCAGUAACAGCACCUUUCUUGGCAUCUUCAAAGCCAUGGGGCAGGUCCUGCCAGACGGAGAGCAGGAGAAGCUGCUGCGCAUCUGUUCCAUUUAUACCCAGAGUGGUGAAAACAGCCUGGUGCAGGAGGGUUGCGAGGCCUCCCCCAUUGGGAAGUCUCCAUAUACUCUGGACAGCCUGUAUUGGAGCCUCAAACCAACUGGCUCCAGCUUUGGGUCUGAAGGAAAGGUUCGGCAGCAGGAGGCACAGGGAAGCAUUAAUGAUGUCAAAGAAGAGGAGAAGGAAGAGAAAGUGGUCUUGCAAGACCAGGUGGAGGAAGAGGAGGAGGGGGAGGAGGAAGAGGAGGAGAAAGAAAAUGACCAGGAGGAAGAGGAUGAAGAAGAUGAAGAUGACGACGAUGAUGACGACGAUGAUGACAAUGGUGAUGAUGAUGAAGACAGAAUGGAGGUGGGGCCUAUCUCUACAGGGCAGGAGUCCCCCACUACCGAGAAUGCCAGGCUCCUGGCACAGAAAAGAGGAGCUCUACAGGGCUCUGCAUGGCAGGUUAGCUCAGAAGACGUGCGAUGGGACACAUUCCCCCUAGGCCGAAUGCCAGGUCAGACCGAGGACCCAGCAGAGCUCAUGCUGGAGAAUUAUGACACCAUGUAUCUUUUGGACCAGCCUGUGCUAGAGCAGCGGCUGGAACGCCCAAUGUGCAAGACUGGCACCCUGGGCCUGACCUGUGGUGUCAGCAGUGGAAACUGCAGUAACAGCAGCAGCAGCAACUUUGAGGGCCUUCUCUGGAGCCAGGGGCAGCUGCAUGGGCUCAAAACUGACCUGCAGCUCUUCUGAUGUCAGUCCUGGUGCAAGUGUUCAUCUAGCCCUGCCAGGGCAACAGCCCAUGCCCCAGUGUUCCCUGAGACAACCUGAAAGACAGCCUGGAUCAGCUACAUCAACACAGCUUUCUACCACAAUGGAAUUUUGAAUGUCUUUUGGGUUUGUUUUGUUUCUAAAAACAAUUAAACAGGCAACUGUUA
This is an RNA transcript of Otolemur garnettii (small-eared galago), 2643 nucleotides long. It is a transcript of the gene named LAS1 like, ribosome biogenesis factor, with no coding region annotated. The record is from RefSeq and is a predicted model, not a curated record. Lineage: Eukaryota; Metazoa; Chordata; Mammalia; Primates; Galagidae. The transcript is spliced from 15 exons.